ACCUCCAAUGCUUCCUGCAACAUGCCACCAAUCCACCAUUUGACAUUGGAAUAAGUUCACUUUGUGACCCUCAAAAGUGAUCGAAAUCUAAUCCGCGACCCCAAACCACAAAACCGGAUAUCUCGACCCUCUAACUCUCGAAACCGGUGCAAUUUGACUUCUUGGUUGGUUUUGGAGGGCGGUUUCGCUGACGUGGCGUCUACGUGGCGGUUUUGACUCGGUUUUCUUUCCACGUGACGUUGACGUGGCACUUACGUAGCAUUAGAAAUAAAAAAUAUGUCUAGGACCCAUUUGUCAUACACACAGAAAAAAAAUAUGGGAGCCACUGUCAUGUGGAGCCCACACAAUCCUCUCCUCCCCGUCUUCCUCCUCCCUUCUCUCCUCUCCACGGACGAUGGGGUCUGCGCCGACUCGCCGCCGGCCACCGCCUUGGCCGCCGCCACAGACGGCAUCACUAACGCCCCUCCCCCGCGAGUUGUCGUCGGCCUCCCCCACCCCUUCCCGCGGAGCCGUUGCCAGCGCACCCGACGGCGGGCGGGAGGGCGGACGCUGGAGCAGCGGCGACGACGACCCCUUCUCUCUUGCUCUCCUUCCUUCUUCAAGCGGUGUGGCGACGAGGAGCAGCCGCGGAGCAUGAUUACUGCGGCGGAGAUGGCGAUGGCGCAGUGGAGGCCGGUCGGCCUUGAGGUAGCGCGCCAUGGCGGCGCACGGGGUGAGGCGGGCGUGGAGGACACGGUGGACCGGGUGGAGGAAGAGGUGGAACGCGUGCGGGGGCGCAGGAGGAAGCGUCCGGCAUCAAUUAUCACGACGAGCUGCUUUGGGUGUUCGUCCACGCCGACAUCGGCUACUGCUUUUCUGACUCGCGCCGCCACAGCCUGCCAUAACUCCAAUCCAGCAUCCAUCGAGAUGUACAACGGAUCUUGGCUAUCUCCGAGAUAUACAGCGGUGACGCCUGCAUGACAAUCACCGGUGAGAUGAAUCAAGAACUGAUAUAGAAUUUCUCCGGUCUCUGCGCCACGGCUCAGAGAAAGGCACCCGCCCGCCGCCGUCGGAAUCAUGCUCCGCGGCUGCUCCUCGUCGCCACACCGCUCCUCCUCAUCGUUUCUGUUUCACCGGAACAUCUCCGCCGCUGACCCCCGUCCCACGGCCGCCGCUCGCCAACGGAAGAGAAAGAGAGAGAGAGAGGGGGGAGGAUGAGGAGAGAAUGAUUUAUGUGGACCCCACAUGUCAGUGGGUCCCACCCAUACUUUUGGUGAAUGACAAAUGAGUCCCAGUAUAUUUUUUA
This is a long non-coding RNA of Oryza sativa Japonica Group (Japanese rice), 1285 nucleotides long. RefSeq lists it as uncharacterized. NCBI's taxonomy places the organism in Eukaryota, Viridiplantae, Streptophyta, Magnoliopsida, Poales, Poaceae. The record is from RefSeq and is a predicted model, not a curated record.